RNAcentral lists this ribosomal RNA (118 nucleotides) under Pteropus alecto (black flying fox). The record is from RNAcentral. Lineage: Eukaryota; Metazoa; Chordata; Mammalia; Chiroptera; Pteropodidae.
GUCUACAGCCAUGCCACCCUGAAUAAGCCCAAUCCCAUUUGAUCUCAGAAGCUAAGAGGGUCAGGCCUGUUUAGUACUUGGAUGGGAGACCACCUAGGAAGACCAGGUGCUAUAGGCA